This 583-nucleotide ribosomal RNA is filed under the name Yamadazyma mexicana. RNAcentral describes it as "eukaryotic LSU rRNA". It matches the Rfam family "Eukaryotic large subunit ribosomal RNA", at positions 27 to 665 of the family's 3401-position model. Lineage: Eukaryota; Fungi; Ascomycota; Pichiomycetes; Serinales; Debaryomycetaceae. The record is from RNAcentral.
GCUGAACUUAAGCAUAUCAAUAAGCGGAGGAAAAGAAACCAACAGGGAUUGCCUUAGUAGCGGCGAGUGAAGCGGCAAUAGCUCAAAUUUGAAAUCUGGCACCUUCGGUGUCCGAGUUGUAAUUUGAAGAAGGUAUCUUUGGUUUUGGCUCUUGUCUAUGUUCCUUGGAACAGGACGUCACAGAGGGUGAGAAUCCCGUGCGAUGAGAUGCCCAAUUCCAUGUAAAGUUCCUUCGACGAGUCGAGUUGUUUGGGAAUGCAGCUCUAAGUGGGUGGUAAAUUCCAUCUAAAGCUAAAUAUUGGCGAGAGACCGAUAGCGAACAAGUACUGUGAAGGAAAGAUGAAAAGAACUUUGAAAAGAGAGUGAAAAAGUACGUGAAAUUGUUGAAAGGGAAGGGCUUGAGGUCAGACUUGGUUUUACCAGGCCAGCAUCAGUUUGGAUGGCAGGAUAAUAGCUUAGGAAUGUGGCACUGCUUCGGUAGUGUGUUAUAGCCUGGGUUGAUACUGCCUGUCUAGACUGAGGACUGCGUCUUUGACUAGGAUGCUGGCAUAAUGACCUUAAGCCGCCCGUCUUGAAACACGGA